This 406-nucleotide ribosomal RNA is filed under the name uncultured bacterium. Its description in RNAcentral is "partial 16S ribosomal RNA". It matches the Rfam family "Bacterial small subunit ribosomal RNA", at positions 30 to 526 of the family's 1533-position model. The record is from RNAcentral.
AUUGAACGCUGGCGGCAGGCCUAACACAUGCAAGUCGGGCGAGUGGCGGACGGGUGAGUAAUGUAUGGGGAACUGCCUGUUGGAGGGGGAUAACUACUUGAAACGGUAGCUAAUUCCGCAUACUAUCAGUUGAACCCAUGUGGGAUUAGCUUGUAGGUAAGUUAACGGCUUACCUAGGCGACGAUCCCUAGCUGGUCUGAGAGGAUGAUUGGCCACAUUGGGACUAGGACACGGCCCAGACUCCUACGGUAGGCAGCAGUGGGGAAUAUUGGAAAUGGGGCGCAAGCCUACUGCAGCCAGGCGGCGGAUAGGAGGAAGGCCUGCGGGUUGAAAAGUACUUUCAGUCGGGAGACGUUACCGCCAGAGAAAGCACCGGCUAACUCCGUGCCAGCAGCCGCGGUAAUAC